UGCAUCAUCUCUUCCAUUUUAGUCUCACAAGUCGAGUGCAGACUGCAGAAGCUUCGAUAGCACUUCCAUGGCGUCUUCUCUCUCUAGAAAACUCUCCGCUGCCAUUCUCUCAAAGCACAGACCACUCUCAAACACAUCUCUCUCUUUCUGCACCAAAAGUCUCUCCUCCCCAGAAUCCGUUUCCGAUUCCGACUCACCCCCCGAUUCCCCCCCUCCAAACCAGCAGCGCACCAAUACAGAUCGACCCCUCGAAAACGGCUUGGACCUCGGCAUUUACAAGGCGAUAUUGGUAGGGCAGGUUGGGCAGGCGCCGAUUCAAAAGCGGCUGAAAAGCGGGAAAAUGGUAACCCUAAUUUCGCUCGGCACGGGUGGCAUUCGCAACAAUCGGAGGCCUUUGGACAACGAGGAGCCGCGUGAUUACGCCAAUCGCUGCGCGGUGCAGUGGCACAGGGUCUCCGUUUAUCCAGAGAAAUUGGGCGAACUCGCCGCGAAAAAUCUCGUCCCCGGUUCUACAUUGUACGUGGAAGGGAAUCUCGAGACUAAAAUAUUCAAUGAUCCAAUAACUGGACUCGUCCGUCGAAUCAGAGAGAUUGCUGUACGUAGGAAUGGGAGGAUUCUGGUUCUAGGAAACGGAGCUGAAGCUGCGCAGUUUUCAAGGAAUGAUAUGGCCGGGGUUGGAUAUUACUGAGGUAUUGAUGAUUUUCCCGUGGUAAGGCCACAUUAACCGACAAACUAGUGCAGUGCGUAUCUCGGGAGCCAAAUUCAAUAGGCUGCAGUUAUACAAAUGUUGUUAAGUUGUCAGGCCAAAUCCAAAUGGGAACAAAGGAUCAUAAUGUGGAUCACCUACAUUCAUGGGGAGCUGGUCGACUGAUUUGAACCAUGUUCUAGGAAGUUUUCCAGUGAAGCCAUAUUGACCAAAUAGGACAUCAGCUACACCUUGGCCCUCUGUUCCUGGAAGCCAAGCUGCGACAAGUGCGUCUAUCUUAUCUAGGUAAGGCUCAAUUGUCACUGGACGCCCAGAUAUGAUAACAACAACGCAUCUGACAACCCUGCAGACGUUCCUGAUAGUACUUGGACCUGGUUCAAUUAUAGUUAGGUUUGUGCUGUCUCCUUUUUCCUCAGCAUAUGGGACCUCACCCACAACAACGAUGGCAUAAGAGAAAUUUUGUGACUUCACUAGAUCCAUGCCAGGGUUUUUCAUGUGGACAACUGGAGUGGAAGGGUCUACUGUCUUUCUGAUAGCAUUUAAGACUGUGGUUCCUGCAAUGCGGAUUUAUUAGAAAGUUAUCUCUAUAUAAAUUAUUCUCAUUACAACUCUGUUACAUGUAAAGAUGUGCUUUGCUGAAGGCUAUAUUACUUUAUUUUGGAAAGCUAAGCAUAUCAGAAAUAGUGGAAAUCCAUCUAAUAUGUUGAGAAUAUGUUUAAACUUCAGAGUUUGAGGCAUUAAAAUUUGAAGUAUACCAACUAUGAGAUCACUGACUUGGACACCCUGCCAUUCAACUGUCCAGCCUCCACAUUGAUAUCCAAGAUUAUCAGCAUGAGUUCCUGCAACAAGUACUUUCUGCACAUCCUUUUUAAGAGGAAGCAAUGGCUGAUUAGCACUUUUACCAUUUUUCAGAAGCACUAGUGAUCUUCUCACUGCUUCCCUGGCCAAUUCCCGAUGAUUCUUUCCAAAAAAAGUAUGCUUCGGUUAUUGUUGAAUUGCAAGGACAAUAAACAGUAGCAGGAAGGUUUACAAUUAGCAGAUGGUAUACCUGGCUGCCAAGUUGGUUUAACAAGCUAAGGUCGGCGAAGGGGUUUUCAAAGAGACCCAUGGUGAACUUCACCCUUAAUAUUCUCCUCACGGCAUCAUCUAUCCUGCUCAUUGGGAUAUUGUUGCUCUUCACUUGAAUACCAGCUUCAAUUGAAUGGGAAUAGUUUGAAUGAGGUGGAUCUGUAAUUCUGUCAAUGCCAAGCCAACUUGAUAUGAUGAGGCCCUGCAAUUCAUGUAUGGAAGCAUGUGAAUGCUGAGCAAUCCAUGAAAGUCAAGCUCUGUGUUGUUCUUAUCAAUGCCGUUUACGGUUCCUCCUUCGCCUACAAAACCUUUUGCACAGGCUGCGACCUUUGCCCUUAGGUAAAUGAAUAAUAUCUUCACUUGUUAGGCAACCAUAUUUUUGUUCUGGGUUGAAAUACAGAAAGAGAUGGAGAUUUAUACUUUCCAGCAAGAAAGGGGACACCCUUUCUGGAACUGGCAGGAAUGUCGCCCUGUAAACCGGGUAUGAAUUCUGUCAUUGCUCGAACCACCUUAGGAUCUUCACUAUAGCUUUCGAAACAUUGGCCCCAUCUUGGAUCUCUGCAAACCUGUAGUCAGAUGAACAGAAUGACUAGACCUGAUACUUAACACUACUGAGUUUAGUUUAGGUAUAAAUUACUUACAGCAAGGCUGGGUGCGAAAUUGUAGUUGAUUCCCGUUGCUCUAACUUCAAGUGCAGUGGCUGCUCCAAUCCUCUUGACAAGGGCUGGAUCUCUGUUCCACCACUGAUGUUAGGAUCUGAUGUUCGUGUCAAAAUGUAUAAAACGUUAGACUUGCCUGGUGGCUCCGAGGCCGACAUUGUGAGGGAAAAUAGUAGCGUUGUAGACAUUGUUGUUGCCGUGGGUAGCAUCAGCGCCAUAGAAGAUAGGUAUUCCGAGCCGAGUCGAAAGAGCUGCCUUUUGAAAAGUGUUCACCAUUUUCACCCAUUCCUCUGCAGAUGCCUUGGGAGAUGGACUACUCCCAGCUCCACUUAAAACACUCCCUACACAUCCACCAAACUAAAUCCAUAGAGUUGUUGGUGCCAAAAAACAAUUAAGAAAAUAGAGAAUUACCUAUGAAAUAUUUCUUGAGUAGAGUUGGAGAGACAUGCAUCCUCUCAAUCUGAGUCAUCUGCCCAAUCUUUUCUUCAAGGCUCAUUCUCUUCAUCAAGUCUCUGAUUCUUGCAUUUAAUGGCUGUUUUGGGUCUUUGUAUUUCAUGUAUUCCUUUGCUUCUGUAACUACUAUCACCAUUAAUACCAUCACCAUCAUUUUCAUCUUCACACCCCUUGAAACCACCUUCAUCAUUACCUCUGCAACACAGCCUAUUUAUGUUCAACAAAUAAUGCAAUUAUUUAAUUUUGUCUAGGGAAACAUAGUAAAAUAAGUAAUACCUCUAGUUGCACGCAAGGUGUAGAGAUAGCUAUUUAAAGGUUUUUUAUAAAUAUUUUGUAGAGGAUUAUGAAGAUUUCAAUGAGAGUAGUAUCUGUGCCAGUGUGUGAAUAAAUAUACAAGUAGUGAUUCCUGAUGAGUUUUUAGUGGGAGGUAUUUUCACAUGUAUUCUUGGAUAUUUUGUUAUAAGUGCAAAUGACUAAAUUAUUUUGGGUUUAA
This is a non-coding RNA of Salvia hispanica, 3379 nucleotides long. NCBI's taxonomy places the organism in Eukaryota, Viridiplantae, Streptophyta, Magnoliopsida, Lamiales, Lamiaceae. The record is from RefSeq and is a predicted model, not a curated record.